Molecule: long non-coding RNA, 991 nt
Organism: Betta splendens (Siamese fighting fish)
Lineage: Eukaryota; Metazoa; Chordata; Actinopteri; Anabantiformes; Osphronemidae
Exons: 3
Source: RefSeq, a predicted model, not a curated record
ACUUUAAUUAGCACUUUGUUGAUUGUAACACAUUGUUGUCUUUGAAAAUGAUUUUACCCCUUGACGUAGAUAUCGCUGGACUGUUGUCCAGUCAGGAAAUUGGUGUCGUCCAAAAUGAUGUCUUCUGUGUUCCAGAUGAUGAUACGCAGCUCGUACCUGAGCACACACGUAGGCGAAAUGUCCACUGGAGGUCCUGGAUGAGGCAGGUCCAUUGGAAACAUGUCAACCCACAUCUGGAGUUGGCCCUACACAUACAAGAGUCAGGAAAUAAGGGUGCUGUGUUACAGCGCCACCACCCAGUGACGCCACCUAGGUCAUCUGUGGUACCUGGUCCAUGCCGGGUCGAGCCUUGUUAAAGAGAGUUCUGGUCUCAAUGUGUUCUGGUACCAGUUUGCAUCCCAAAACCGGCAUCUCUGACCAACGAUGCAGGAUCUUUAGAGACAGAUGCUCAUAGGACUCCACAGGCUCAUCUGGAACAUCAUUCGUCGUAGUCACAAUGUCAUCACAGAGCGUCUUUCCAGUGAAGACCUUGUCAGCGACAGUGAUGCGUCCCGGUCUGAAAUGAGGACCAUCGAGACCAUUUUCUCUGCACAGCUUAGACAAGAGCUCUGAUGGUUUCAGACUGUCUCUCCAGGCAUUAUACCCCUCCCUGACAGUUGGAAAAUAAAAGAAUAUUAGUGAUAAAUAAUAUCAUACUGUUUGCUUGUAUAAUAUGUAUUUUAUAUAUGUAUUUCUGACCACAUACUAGACGUUUUUUGACGAGAUACUAAACAAUUAUUUUUUUUUUUUACAACAUACUAUGCAAAAGCAUGUUUUUGAUGACAUACUGUACUAAAACAAUUGUUUGACAAGAUACUAUAUCAAGGCAUGUUUUUGACGACACUACUAUGGUAUUUUUAUGACGAGAUACUAUACUAAGACCAUUUUUUACAAUAUACUAUUCCUAGGCAUGUUUUUGACAGCAUAAUAAACACCUGUUUUUAUGAUACUA